GACAGAGGGUGCAAACGUUGUUCGGAAUUACUGGGCGUAAAGCGCGUGUAGGCGGUCGUGCAAGUCGGAUGUGAAAGCCCACAGCUCAACUGUGGAAGUGCAUUCGAUACUGCGCGACUCGAGUCCCGGAGAGGAUGGUGGAAUUCUCGGUGUAGAGGUGAAAUUCGUAGAUAUCGAGAGGAACACCGGUGGCGAAGGCGGCCAUCUGGACGGUGACUGACGCUGAGACGCGAAAGCGUGGGGAGCAAACAGGAUUAGAUACCCUGGUAGUCCACGCCGUAAACGAUGGGUGCUAGGUGUCACGGGUAUUGACCCCUGUGGUGCCGUAGCUAACGCAUUAAGCACCCCGCCUGGGAAGUACGGCCGCAAGGCUAAA
RNAcentral lists this ribosomal RNA (376 nucleotides) under uncultured bacterium. Its description in RNAcentral is "bacterial SSU rRNA". It matches the Rfam family "Bacterial small subunit ribosomal RNA", at positions 524 to 898 of the family's 1533-position model. The record is from RNAcentral.